Molecule: ribosomal RNA, 519 nt
Filed under: uncultured eukaryote
Lineage: Eukaryota
Description: SSU rRNA
Rfam family: Eukaryotic small subunit ribosomal RNA
Source: RNAcentral
AUGGCACCACCAGGAGUGGAGCCUGCGGCUUAAUUUGACUCAACACGGGAAAACUUACCCGGCCCGGACACUGGAAGGAUUGACAGAUUGAGAGCUCUUUCUUGAUUCAGUGGGUGGUGGUGCAUGGCCGUUCUUAGUUGGUGGAGCGAUUUGUCUGGUUAAUUCCGAUAACGAACGAGACUCUAGCCUACUAAAUAGACUACCGUUCCUUUGUGACGGUAGGACUUCUUAGAGGGACAGGCGGCGACUCAGCCGCACGAAACAGAGCAAUAACAGGUCUGUGAUGCCCUUAGAUGUCCGGGGCCGCACGCGCGCUACACUGAAGUGAUCAGCGUGCAUUAAUAACCCUCUCUGUCAAGAGUGGGUAACCCAUUGAACCUUCUUCGUGAUUGGGAUAGGGUAUUGUAAUUCUUACCCUUGAACGAGGAAUUCCCAGUAAGCGCGAGUCAUAAGCUUGCGUUGAUUACGUCCCUGCCCUUUGUACACACCGCCCGUCGCUACUACCGAUUGAAUGAUUUA